Molecule: ribosomal RNA, 813 nt
Filed under: uncultured bacterium
Lineage: Bacteria
Description: bacterial SSU rRNA
Rfam family: Bacterial small subunit ribosomal RNA
Source: RNAcentral
AGAGUUUGAUCCUGGCUCAGGACGAACGCUGGCGGCGUGCCUAAUACAUGCAAGUCAACGAGAAAGUCAGCUUCGGCUGGCGAGUAAAGUGGCGAACGGGUGAGUAACGCGUAGGCAACUUUCCUCCAAGUUUAGUAUAACCUUUCUAACGAAGGGCUAAUACUGAAUAAAAUAAUAUUUCCGCAUGGAGAUAUUAUCAAAGAAGGGGCUUCAAAAGAACCUUUCGCUGGGAGAUAGGCCUGCGUUCCAUUAGUUAGUUGGUGAGGUAACUGCUCACCAAGACUGUGAUGGAUAGCCGACUUUAGAGGGUGAACGGCCACACUGGGACUGAGAUACGGCCCAGACUCCUACGGGAGGCAGCAGUAGGGAAUAUUGCGCAAUGGCCUAACGGCUGACGCAGCAACGCCGCGUGAAUGAUGAAGCUCUAAGGAGUGUAAAAGUCUGUUGGGAGGGAAGAAUAAUUUAGAUGUGAAUAAUAUCUAAAUUUGACUGUACCUCCAAAGAAAGCUCCGGCUAACUCCGUGCCAGCAGCCGCGGUAAUACGGGGGGAGCAAGCGUUGUCCGGAUUUACUGGGCGUAAAGGGCGUGUAGGCGGAUUUGUAAGUCAGAAGUGAAAUUUGGCGGCUUAACCGUCAAGCUGCUUCUGAUACUGCAAAUCUUGAGUGAGAUAGAGGAAAGUGGAAUUCCUGGUGUAGCGGUGAAAUGUGUAGAUAUCAGGAAGAACACCGGUGGCGAAGGCGGCUUUCUAGGUCUUUACUGACGCUGAGGCGCGAAAGCGUGGGGAGCAAACAGGAUUAGAUACCCUGGUAGUCC